GGACCCGCACAAGCAGCGGAGCAUGUGGUUUAAUUCGAUGCAACGCGAAGAACCUUACCAGGGCUUGACAUCCCUCUGACAGGUCUGUAAAAGGACCCUUCUUCGGACAGAGGAGACAGGUGGUGCAUGGUUGUCGUCAGCUCGUGUCGUGAGAUGUUGGGUUAAGUCCCGCAACGAGCGCAACCCUUGUCUUUAGUUGUCAUCAGAUAGAGCUGGGCACUCUAAAGAGACUGCCGGGGACAACUCGGAGGAAGGUGGGGAUGAGGUCAAAUCAUCAUGCCCCUUAUGUUCUGGGCUACACACGUGCUACAAUGGCCGGUACAGAGAGAACCAAUACAGCGAUGUGGAGGAAAUCACCAAAACCGGUCCCAGUUCGGAUUGCAGGCUGAAACCCGCCUGCAUGAAGUCGGAGUUGCUAGUAAUCGCGGAUCAGAAUGCCG
Molecule: ribosomal RNA, 440 nt
Filed under: uncultured Bacillota bacterium
Lineage: Bacteria; Bacillati; Bacillota
Description: bacterial SSU rRNA
Rfam family: Bacterial small subunit ribosomal RNA
Source: RNAcentral